RNAcentral lists this ribosomal RNA (253 nucleotides) under uncultured bacterium. RNAcentral describes it as "partial 16S ribosomal RNA". It matches the Rfam family "Bacterial small subunit ribosomal RNA", at positions 524 to 776 of the family's 1533-position model. The record is from RNAcentral.
UACGUAGGGUGCAAGCGUUGUCCGGAAUUAUUGGGCGUAAAGAGCUCGUAGGCGGUCUGUCACGUCGGCUGUGAAAACCCGAGGCUCAACCUCGGGCCUGCAGUCGAUACGGGCAAACUAGAGUACUGCAGGGGAGACUGGAAUUCCUGGUGUAGCGGUGAAAUGCGCAGAUAUCAGGAGGAACACCAGUGGCGAAGGCGAUCACCUGGGGUUGUUCUGACGCUGAGGAGCGAAAGCUAGGGGAGCAAACGGG